Molecule: non-coding RNA, 488 nt
Organism: Theobroma cacao (cacao)
Lineage: Eukaryota; Viridiplantae; Streptophyta; Magnoliopsida; Malvales; Malvaceae
Source: RefSeq, a predicted model, not a curated record
CUCCUAAUGCCAUUUUCACCCACCCAACGCCAUUUUCAUACUCCCAUGCCAUUUCACCUUGCCACCAUGUAUUUAAAAAGAAAAAUAAAGACAAUCGGCCAAGGAAAGAAAGGAGAGAAAAGUGAGAGGCUUGGGUAGUAAGUUAUUCAAGAGUAAUUGAAGAAAUAUCAAGUGGGUCUCAAGAUUCAAGAAACAUAAGGAAGUGCAAAAGUAAAGAUAGUAGACUGUGGUGGCAUGCCGAAGGAAAUAACGAGUGACCGAUAAGUAGAAAUAGCUAGAUACGCCUCGAACUAAUAUCGAUGUAGUAUCCCGCUAUUGUAAGUGUAGGAGUGCACGUGACUGUGCUAGUGGUGUGUGGUGUGGGAGUGCACAUGCCGGUAAUGAUGUGGGCGGGAAUGCGUGUGAUGAUACUAAAAUGCGUGUAGGGAGUGCACAUGAUGAUAUUGAAAUGUGCGUGUAAGGAGUGUACAUGAUGAUAUUGCCUUGUG